RNAcentral lists this ribosomal RNA (429 nucleotides) under uncultured Erysipelothrix sp. RNAcentral describes it as "bacterial SSU rRNA". It matches the Rfam family "Bacterial small subunit ribosomal RNA", at positions 944 to 1382 of the family's 1533-position model. Lineage: Bacteria; Bacillati; Bacillota; Erysipelotrichia; Erysipelotrichales; Erysipelotrichaceae. The record is from RNAcentral.
GUGUUAAUUCGACGCAACGCGAGAACUACCAGGCCUUGACAUACUCGGCAAAGCUCUAGAGAUAGAGUGGAGGUUAUCCGGGAUACAGGUGGUGCAUGGUGUCGUCAGCUCGUGUCGUGAGAUGUUGGGUUAAGUCCCGCAACGAGCGCAACCCUUGUCUUUAGUUACCAUCAUUCAGUUGGGGACUCUAGAGAGACUGCCGGUGAUAAACCGGAGGAAGUGGGGAUGACGUCAAAUCAUCAUGCCCCUUAUGGCCUGGGCUACAAACGUAAUACAAUGGCGUAUACAAAGGGAUGCGAAAGGGCGACCUGGAGCAAAACUCACAAAGUACGUCUCAGUUCAGAUUGGAGUCUGCAACUCGACUCCAUGAAGCCGGAAUCGCUAGUAAUCGCGGAUCAGCAUGCCGCGGUGAAUACGUUCCCGGGCCUU